This 1405-nucleotide ribosomal RNA is filed under the name uncultured marine bacterium. RNAcentral describes it as "bacterial SSU rRNA". It matches the Rfam family "Bacterial small subunit ribosomal RNA". The record is from RNAcentral.
GUUUGAUCAUGGCUCAGAUUGAACGCUGGCGGUAGGCUUAACACAUGCAAGUCGUGCGAGAAAGUAUCUUCGGAUACGAGUAGAGCGGCGGACGGGUGAGUAACGCGUAGGAAUCUACCUAGUAGAAGGGGAUAGCCCGGGGAAACUCGGAUUAAUACCGUAUACCUCCUUUGGGAGAAAGAGGGCCUCUCUUUAUGCUUUCGCUCUUAGAUGAGCCCGCGUACGAUUAGUUUGUUGGUGAGGUAAAGGCUCACCAAGACUACGAUCGUUAGCUGGUUUGAGAGGACGAUCCGCCACAUUGGGACUGAGACACGGCCCAGACUCCUACGGGAGGCAGCAGUGGGGAAUAUUGGACAAUGGGCGCAAGCCUGAUCCAGCCAUACCGCGUGUGUGAAGAAGGCCCUAGGGUUGUAAAGCACUUUAAGUUGGGAAGAAAAGUUAUUGGUUAAUACCCAAUAACCGUGACAUUACCUUCAGAAUAAGGACCGGCUAAUUCCGUGCCAGCAGCCGCGGUAAUACGGAAGGUCCAAGCGUUAAUCGGAAUUACUGGGCGUAAAGCGCGCGUAGGUGGUUUAUUAAGUUGGAUGUGAAAGCCCCGGGCUCAACCUGGGAACUGCAUCCAAAACUGAUUCACUAGAGUACGAUAGAGGGAGGUAGAAUUCACAGUGUAGCGGUGGAAUGCGUAGAUAUUGUGAAGAAUACCAAUGGCGAAGGCAGCCUCCUGGAUCUGUACUGACACUAAGGUGCGAAAGCGUGGGUAGCGAACAGGAUUAGAUACCCUGGUAGUCCACGCCGUAAACGAUGUCAACUAGCUGUUGGGAAACUAUGUUUUUCAGUGGCGCAGCUAACGUAGUAAGUUGACCGCCUGGGGAGUACGGCCGCAAGGCUAAAACUCAAAUGAAUUGACGGGGACCCGCACAAGCGGUGGAGCAUGUGGUUUAAUUCGAUGCAACGCGAAAAACCUUACCUAUACUUGACAUACUUGGAAUGCUUUGUAAUGAAGCAGUGCCUUCGGGAGCCAAGAUACAGGUGCUGCAUGGCUGUCGUCAGCUCGUGUCGUGAGAUGUUCCGUUAAGUCGGAUAACGAGCGCAACCCUUACCUUCAAUUGCCAGCACGUUAUGGUGGGAACUUUGAAGGAACUGCCGGUGAUAAGCCGGAGGAAGGUGGGGAUGACGUCAAGUCCUCAUGGCCCUUACGGGCCGGGCUACACACGUGAUACAAUGGUAACUACAAAAGGCAGCGAAGGAGCAAUCUGGAGCAAAUCCCUAAAAGUUACCUCAGUUCGGAUUGUACUCUGCAACUCGAGUGCAUGAAGUUGGAAUCGCUAGUAAUCGUAGAUCAGCGCGCUACGGUGAAUACGUUCCCGGGUCUUGUACACACCGCCCGUCACACCAUGGGAGUUGG